UACGUAGGGGGCGAGCGUUGUCCGGAAUUACUGGGCGUAAAGGGCGUGUAGGUGGCCGAUCAAGUCAGGUGUGAAAUUCCAGGGCUCAACUCUGGGCGUGCAUUUGAAACUGGUUGGCUUGAGUGCAGGAGAGGAAAGUGGAAUUCCCAGUGUAGCGGUGAAAUGCGUAGAUAUUGGGAGGAACACCAGUGGCGAAGGCGACUUUCUGGCCUGCAACUGACGCUGAGGCGCGAAAGCUAGGGGAGCAAAC
RNAcentral lists this ribosomal RNA (250 nucleotides) under uncultured Dethiobacter sp. RNAcentral's name for it is "partial 16S ribosomal RNA". It matches the Rfam family "Bacterial small subunit ribosomal RNA", at positions 524 to 773 of the family's 1533-position model. Lineage: Bacteria; Bacillati; Bacillota; Dethiobacteria; Dethiobacterales; Dethiobacteraceae. The record is from RNAcentral.